CACGUUUCUUUUAAGCACUAUAAUGUUUGUUUCUAGAGGAGAUUUUAGAGUCUCAGCUUUCCUUAUUGAUUAAAAAGGAGCACCUCAUCUUUGUGAAAAGGCAAGGUGGUCCCUGCUAUUACCACGAAUAUAUAUUGCAAUAAGCAUUUCCGAAUAAAUAAUAAAUAAAUAUAUCUGUUGCACACGAGAAGUGUAAAAGAGUAAAUAAAUCUAAC
Molecule: long non-coding RNA, 215 nt
Filed under: Nicotiana benthamiana
Lineage: Eukaryota; Viridiplantae; Streptophyta; Magnoliopsida; Solanales; Solanaceae
Description: long non-coding RNA (NBEN_LNC003025)
Source: RNAcentral